Non-coding RNA from Schistosoma rodhaini, 45 nucleotides. Lineage: Eukaryota; Metazoa; Platyhelminthes; Trematoda; Strigeidida; Schistosomatidae. The record is from Rfam.
AUCCAGCUGACGAGUUCCAAAUAGGAAGGAACGCACAUCCUGGAU